RNAcentral lists this small nuclear RNA (100 nucleotides) under Moschus moschiferus (Siberian musk deer). The record is from RNAcentral. Lineage: Eukaryota; Metazoa; Chordata; Mammalia; Artiodactyla; Moschidae.
GUGCAGAAGCACAUAUAUUAAAACUGGAACAAUUCAGCGAAGAUUAGCAUUGCCCCUGCACAAGGAUGACAUGCAAAUUCGUGAAGCAUUCCAUACUUUU